RNAcentral lists this ribosomal RNA (638 nucleotides) under Dasytidius gracilis. Its description in RNAcentral is "eukaryotic LSU rRNA". It matches the Rfam family "Eukaryotic large subunit ribosomal RNA", at positions 670 to 1262 of the family's 3401-position model. Lineage: Eukaryota; Metazoa; Arthropoda; Insecta; Coleoptera; Chaetosomatidae. The record is from RNAcentral.
GGAGUCUAGCAUGUGCGCGAGUCAUUGGGACACGACUAAACCUAAAGGCGCAAUGAAAGUGAAGGCCCGCCUCGCGCGGGCCGAGGGAAGAUGGGCGUGCCCGCGAAAGCGGCCGCUCCGCAUUCCCGGGGCGUCUCGUUCUCAUCGCGAGAAGAGGCGCACCAAGAGCGUACACGCUGGGACCCGAAAGAUGGUGAACUAUGCCUGGUCAGGACGAAGUCAGGGGAAACCCUGAUGGAGGUCCGUAGCGAUUCUGACGUGCAAAUCGAUCGUCGGAACUGGGUAUAGGGGCGAAAGACUAAUCGAACCAUCUAGUAGCUGGUUCCCUCCGAAGUUUCCCUCAGGAUAGCUGGCGCUCGUCGCCAACGAGUCUCAUCCGGUAAAGCGAAUGAUUAGAGGCAUUGGGGCCGAAACGGCCUCAACCUAUUCUCAAACUUUAAAUGGGUGAGAUCUCCGGCUUGCUCGAACCGAUGAAGCCGCGAGACUCGGAUCAGAGUGCCAAGUGGGCCAUUUUUGGUAAGCAGAACUGGCGCUGUGGGAUGAACCAAACGCCGAGUUAAAGCGCCUAAAUCGACGCUUAUGGGACACCAUGAAAGGCGUUGGUAACUUAAGACAGCAGGACGGUGGCCAUGGAAGUC